UACAGAGGUCUCAAGCGUUGUUCGGAAUUACUGGGCGUAAAGGGUGCGUAGGCGGCCCUGUAAGUCAGUGCUGAAAUAUCCCAGCUUAACUGGGAGGGUGGCAUUGAUACUGCGGGGCUAGAGUACAGAUGAGGUAGGCGGAAUUGACGGUGUAGCGGUGAAAUGCUUAGAUAUCGUCAAGAACACCUAUAGCGAAGGCAGCUUACUAGGCUGUAACUGACGCUGAGGCACGAAAGUGUGGGGAUCAAACAGG
This 253-nucleotide ribosomal RNA is filed under the name uncultured bacterium. RNAcentral describes it as "partial 16S ribosomal RNA". It matches the Rfam family "Bacterial small subunit ribosomal RNA", at positions 524 to 776 of the family's 1533-position model. The record is from RNAcentral.